Molecule: long non-coding RNA, 219 nt
Filed under: Elaeis guineensis (African oil palm)
Lineage: Eukaryota; Viridiplantae; Streptophyta; Magnoliopsida; Arecales; Arecaceae
Description: long non-coding RNA (EGUI_LNC076796)
Source: RNAcentral
CUGAUUAAAAAAAUUUUAUUCACAUACAAGACAAGAAAUACGCUCAUAGAACUAUUAACCCAUUUGUAUUUGUAGCGUUCUUCUUUAUUCUCAACGAAGCCAUAAAGUUUGAUCACUUAUCAAAAUGCACGUUUCAACUUCAAAAUAUUUAGCAUUGCUACAAGAGAAAAUAUUUUGUUAUGGUCAAUACCAUAAUGUUGACAAUAUCUUUUGGCGACC